Long non-coding RNA from Nematostella vectensis (starlet sea anemone), 940 nucleotides. RefSeq lists it as uncharacterized. Lineage: Eukaryota; Metazoa; Cnidaria; Anthozoa; Actiniaria; Edwardsiidae. The record is from RefSeq and is a predicted model, not a curated record. The transcript has 2 exons.
AUUCCUGUAGGGAAUAUACAUAGAGAGUUAAAAGAUAGCUAAAAUUCAGACUACACCACCGACUGACCGAUGACAAUCGAUACCAAUUAGAUAAUUAAAUCGAUUGAUAUCGAAUAAUGAAGUGGGUUUCCGAUAAUCGAUGCUCCUGCCGAGGUGUGUCUAGGGAUCAGGUAUGGGGAACCUUAAAGGGGCCGUAUGACGUAAAUUCACAUCAAUAUUACACCUCGCUACAUUCAUUAGAAAGAGCAUCGUUUGAAAUACUCUUGGUGAAAAAAGUAGCCCAAAACUCCAACAGCAAAGUUGUAAAAAGUGAAAAUAAAGCCCGUAUAAAACGUUCGAAAAUCGGCGGCCAUUGCUUGAGCUAGCUUGAUUUGGAGGGCACUUAUGACGUCACUUGUCCCCAACAAGUCGGCUCAUUACAUUCAGAACCAUUGCCAAAUAGAAGGGUAUACUUGGUGUCUGGUCUCCAAACAUCAAUAUGAAGCGGUUAUGGGAAGAAAGACGGGCCUGUUUUUAAAUUUGAUUAUCUGACCGAGAUCCAGAAGAAACCUUUCGCAUUCUAAACCCCUGGUAGCCGAAGAAAACUGCCUUGAAUUACGAGCGUCUGCUAUAAAAAGCGAUCAUCUGUCGACCACGUGCGUAAUUUCAACACGAAAGGAAUCACAAAUCCACCUCUACAAGGGUACGACUCCUAACAAGAUAUCUUUCAGAUUGUUCUUGAGUUACUGUAGUGUCAAAAGUGUGUUGGCACAACUAUGCUCAUUCCCUCUAAUCCCUCACUGCCUAAUACAGUUUACAGUUUGCAGCAAAAGUUUGGUCUUUUUUAAUUUUUUUAUUUUGGAAUAAGCUCCCUUUUAAACUAUCUAAAAAUAGUUAGCUUGAAGACUGUCACAAAAUAUUCUAAUGCAUGGGAAAUAAAAUAAAAUAUGGAACUAAUCUA